RNAcentral lists this ribosomal RNA (1142 nucleotides) under uncultured fungus. RNAcentral describes it as "eukaryotic LSU rRNA". The stretch from base 514 to 1142 matches the Rfam family "Eukaryotic large subunit ribosomal RNA", at positions 1 to 648 of the family's 3401-position model. Lineage: Eukaryota; Fungi. The record is from RNAcentral.
AAGUCGUAACAAGGUUUCCGUAGGUGAACCUGCGGAAGGAUCAUUACAGAGAAUAUGCCCUUCGGGGUAGACCUCCUACCCUUUGCUUACUUUACCUUUGUUGCUUUGGCAAGCCCGUCUACCGACCACCGGCUUUUUGCUGGUCAGUGCAUGUCAGAGGAUCUCAAAUUCUUAAUAUAAUAUUGUCCGAGUACUAUUUAAUAGUUAAAACUUUCAACAACGGAUCUCUUGGUUCUGGCAUCGAUGAAGAACGCAGCGAAAUGCGAUAAGUAAUGUGAAUUGCAGAAUUCAGUGAAUCAUCGAAUCUUUGAACGCACAUUGCACCCUCUGGCAUUCCGGGGGGUAUGCCUGUUCGAGCGUCAUUUCAACCCUCAAGCACUGCUUGGUAUUGGGCGUCACUACCUAAGUGUGCCCUAAAGUUAGUGGCGGCGCCCAUUCGGCUUCCAGCGUAGUAAAUUUCUCGCUGUGGAAACGUAUUGUGCUCCCUGUCAGCAACCCCUAAAUUUUUAAGGUUGACCUCGGAUCAGGUAGGGAUACCCGCUGAACUUAAGCAUAUCAAUAAGCGGAGGAAAAGAAACCAACAGGGAUUGCCUCAGUAACGGCGAGUGAAGCGGCAAAAGCUCAAAUUUGAAAUCUGACCUCAUGGUCCGAAUUGUAAUUUGUAGAGGAUGCUUCGAACGUGGUCUGGUCUAAGUUCCUUGGAACAGGACGUCAUAGAGGGUGAGAAUCCCGUAUGCGACUAGGUGCCUAAGUUCAUGUGAAGCUCCUUCGACGAGUCGAGUUGUUUGGGAAUGCAGCUCAAAAUGGGUGGUAAAUUUCAUCUAAAGCUAAAUAUUGGCCAGAGACCGAUAGCGCACAAGUAGAGUGAUCGAAAGAUGAAAAGCACUUUGGAAAGAGAGUUAAACAGUACGUGAAAUUGUUGAAAGGGAAGCGCUUGCAACCAGACUUGCAUAUAGUUGAUCAUCCGAUGUUCUCACCGGUGCACUCAACUGUAUUCAGGCCAGCAUCGGUUUUAGUGGUUGGAUAACGGCCUUGGGAAUGUAGCUCCUUUCGGGGAGUGUUAUAGCCCAAGGUGCAAUGCAGCCUACUAGGACCGAGGACCGCGCUUUGGCUAGGAUGCUGGCGUAAUGGUUGUAAGCGAC